UCCCAGAAUGCCUAGCGUGUUCUCAGCUGUGCGACUCAGGCUGGGCAGAGCUUGCAUGCCUUUCCUUAAACAGCAUUAGAAGUUACAUGACCAUCUACUGUAGACAGAAAUAAACCAGAAGGGCAGUACCACAGGAUAAUAACAAAAAAGGAGAGUCCAGCUCCAGUGCAUCACUGAUGCAGAGAAUGUCAGACAUGUUUUCCAGGUGGUACGAGGAAGCGCAGAAUAACAGAGAUCAAUCCCACUCACGCACAAGAAGUACCACUUCUGAACCAGCACAAGUUGAGCCUAGUGCAGAGACAGUGACCCAUGCACAAGACACACAGGGGCGGACUUACCCAUUAGGCAAAGACAGGGAUUCCGCUUCCUCUGUGUCUGUCAGCAGUGCCUCCGCAGAGCUUGUUCUUAGUCUGCACUACAGUCCAGAAGGCUCCUCCACCAGCACCAUGACACUGAACCUCACCGGUCAUUGGACUGAUGCUGGGUCGAGCUGUGGGCGUCCCAAUAGCACAGGUAUCAGUGAACAGGAAGGCAGCUCUCCAGAACCAUGCUCAGGACCAGCUGAUGUUAGGCCUCGUGGAAAUGAAAAGCGUGCAUGUCGCACUGCGGUCAACUUUACAGUCAAGUUUGUGAACUUGUGUCAACAGCUGAAGACACAAACAGACAAAACAGCACAUCUGGAGAGCCAACAGCAGAUCAGGAUGACAGUAGUGAGGAGACCAACCACACAUCCUCAACAAACAACAAUCCUCCACUCACACAGAGGUUCAUCUUAUUAAAGCUUUAGUUUCAGACGGCAAAUAAACUCCUUCAGGGUGAUACUAGCCUUGUGAUCAUCCUACCAGGUUUUAUUUUGUACAGUAAGCCUGUCAUUAUCACAUUAAUUUCACAAUGCUGUUGUAAUUUACCACUCACUUUUUUAAUUUUUUGGUCUGCUGCUUUCAGAUUAAAUUUCAGAGGAUCAGUGAUCGGUGAACGGGUUCUGAAGUGAAAAAUAUAUUGUACAUACACUAUUGCUCAAAAGUUUUUGAAAGAAUAUUAUUAAACAAAUAUGUAAUCAUUAAAAAAAUACAGCAAAUCAUAUAAUAAAUACAUAUAAAUAAUUAUAAAAUACAGCAAAACCUUUUAUAUUGUGUAAUAUUAAUACAAUUUAAAGUAACUGUCUAUUGUAAUAUAUUUUAAAAUUGUCUUUUUUUUUUUCCUGUGAUGCAAAGCUGAAUUUGUCUAUAGAUGGCAAGAAAUCUUUUGCGAUGUAUUAUAUACACACUAAAGUUCAAAACGUUGGGGAAUUCUUUUAUUCAGCAAGGCUGCAUUAAACUGAUCAAAAGUGACAAUAAAGACAAUUUAACUAGUUACACUAAAAUAUUAAGUAGCACAACUGUUUUCAACAUUAAUAAUAACAAUAAAAAUGUUUCUUGAGCAGCAAAAUCAGCAUAUUAGAAUGAUUUCUGAAGGAUCAUGUGACACUGAAGACUGAAUAUAUAUAUAUAUAUAUAUAGGUUCCAUCCAAAUUUUCUGCUUUAAAUGGGUCAUAUGAUGUUGCUCAAAAGAACAUUAUUUUGUGUAUAUGGUGUAAUGAAAUGUGUUUAUGCGGUUUAAGGUUAAAAAAAAACAGAUUAUUUUCCACCCACUGUACAUUAUUGUUUCUCCUCUAUGCCCCUCCUUUCUGAAACGUGUAGUUUUUUACAAAGCUCAUCGUUCUGAAAAGUGAGGUUCAAGCAUGUUACGGAAAUGUUAUGCCCCUUGCCAUACUGUGAUGUGUGUCUUGGUAAGAACACCGGCGCAACAAGAUAAAAACAAUAAAACCCAUUACAAACAAGCCAUUUUUUUUGCAUCCAGUGGGGACAUAAUUACAGAUUAUAAUGAUUUAUACUGUGUUUUUACGUGUUGCGUUGAAUCGCACCGCGUAAACAUAAAAUCAUGUCUGCACUUGUGAUUGGAGAAACGACAAACAACAAGCGCUACUCUGCUCAAAACUCGUGUUUGAAUCGUCCAUGGCAAAUUCUUUAAAUAUGAAAAACGUACUUACAGACUGUGAGUCAGAAGUGCUGGCAUUGUAGUCUUCUCUCUCAGGAUCAGGAAACAGUCCUCCAUAAAAUGCGCUGCACUCAUCUGAAUAUUUGGGUUAGACUGUUCUGGAACAGUGUUGUAAAUACAAUUUAACCACUGAUUGCUAGUUGUAUCCUCUUUUGGAAGGCCAAACUAACUAUUUUCGCUUUCACAACGAAACAGCCUCUCCACAACAUGGCGCCGGUGGCAACAGUGAGAAUAAAAGUUACACCUUCUUUCUUUGCGUAAACAUUUGGGUGGCGUUAUGCAAAUUUUCCCACAUCAUGACUUAGACAUGUAGGGGUGUGUUUAAACGAGAAUAUCGCUUUUGGUUUGAGACUUUGGUCUUUGCAACUUUAGGGAUCUUAUCUAUUCACAAACAGCUUGUAACACUCCGAAGAGAAAGGAAAAAUUGAAAUCACAUCAUAUGACCCCUUUAAGGCAUCUCAUAUGUUCUGGAUUGCACACUGAUUUUCUGUAUUUCUUUAGACCAACGUGGCGUGUUUUGGGGCUAAUAACUUUGUGUUGAGCGGAUCAGACUGUGGCCAUAUCUUCAUAUGGGACAGACACACAGGAGAGCAUGUGAUGCUGAAGUAAGCUUACAAUCAAGUCAUCAACUGUCUGCAGCCUCACCCAUAUGAGCCAUGUGAGUUCAUCCAGUGUUUUUGUCCUAACAUGGAAUUGAAAUUGGGCUUUUGCACAAGUCUUUUAGACAUUUUGCCAAGCAGGCAUGUUGUAAUGGAUUGAGGAAGGUUUUAAAAAAGGUCACAAGUUUAAAUCCUUUCCAUUUUUCGGUGAAAUUGCAUUUUAUGUGCUUCAGUUUGUUACAAUCCAUGUUCUCUGAUUGCAUAAUGAAUUCAUAAUUUUAGUUUGGCUAUCAUAGUACUUGCCUCCUCUGGAAUUGAUUAUGAUAUUAAAAUCUGGUCGCCCAUGGAGAAGUCUCCAUCAUUUAACAGAGUGUUGGCAGAAGGGGUGAGUGCAAUCUUAGUUUGUUCAUUUAUUACCCUAUUCUUCUCUAAUUCUGUCUGCCAGUAUGGUUGCAUGCAGUUAAAGAUCAUAAAUUAUCUAAAUUCAGUCAUGGACACCAUCUUGUUGUUAGUGGGCUGUGAUUUGCGCAGAGUAAAUUGUCUGUCUCCCUCUGCAGGUAAUUCUGGGCAAUAAGCAGAUGCUUGAAGAGUCCAGAAAUACAACCACAGAAUGCUGGCGUCUCUCAGCCACAAUAGAACAGAUCGUUUUGAAGGAAAUCGAUCAGACGGCUCUGGACAGGAGAAUGAUGAAUGAAUGAGUUUAUUACCAGGAACAGUAAGAUUGCAUAUGAAUAGUAUGGAAUAUUGUUUUUUUUUUUUUCAAUUCUGAGUAUAUAUCACCUUUAUCUUUUUAAACUCUGAAUUACAAGAAACAAACUCAAAAUUGCG
Molecule: long non-coding RNA, 3464 nt
Organism: Cyprinus carpio carpio
Lineage: Eukaryota; Metazoa; Chordata; Actinopteri; Cypriniformes; Cyprinidae
Source: Ensembl